AAAACGAAAACGAAAACGAAGACGAAGACGAAGUUGAAGUCUUUCUCUCUUAUUUGUUCCACUACUUUAGAGGUAAUCGAUGAUCUCGUCCUUUUUCUCUCUCAAUCUCAUCAGUUAAUUAGCUAGAAAGGAAUAUAUGGUUUGAUCUAUAUCCACCAUUUCUUUUUCUCUUCAAGUAGCUACCUAGCUAGCUAGAUCUGAUUAAUCAAUCUAGCUGCUUUAAUUUCCAGAUCAAUUAUGAGAUUUCUAAGACUCUUCAACUCCACUUGCUUCUAGCUCUUGUUUCAUUCACUAACAAAACUGUAGAUAGAUAGAUCUUGCGCGUGCUCAUCAUAUAAGGGAUGUGUGUCUGAAGUUUCUUUCCUUUGUGUGUUUUCAUAUCAGUAUGGGAGUGAACAAGAUAUGUUUGAUAAUGGGUCUGUGAAGUUUUUGAUCUUGGGAUUUGGAGGUUUGAGUUCUGGGGAUCUUCUUUAUGUGCGUUUGAAGUUGUUCCUUUUCAAAUCUUAUUUUUUUCUAUAUGGAAUCAUAUCAGAUUGAUAUAGAAUUAUGGGGUCCUGAGCUUAGAUUUUGAGGUUGGGAUCUCCUUUGAUUUCAGUAUUGGUGAUGAUGGAGUUUGUG
This 618-nucleotide long non-coding RNA is filed under the name Aquilegia coerulea. Its description in RNAcentral is "long non-coding RNA (ACOE_LNC000347)". The record is from RNAcentral. Lineage: Eukaryota; Viridiplantae; Streptophyta; Magnoliopsida; Ranunculales; Ranunculaceae.